This is an RNA transcript of Mobula hypostoma (lesser devil ray), 4669 nucleotides long. It is a transcript of the gene named adherens junctions associated protein 1, with no coding region annotated. The transcript is spliced from 7 exons. The record is from RefSeq and is a predicted model, not a curated record. Lineage: Eukaryota; Metazoa; Chordata; Chondrichthyes; Myliobatiformes; Myliobatidae.
CAUACGAGAGGAGACUACUCUCAGAUCCUGUCAGCCAAGACACUUCGCUUCUUUUUCCUUCUGACCUCUCUUCCUCUUCAGUUUUCUCAUAUCUGUGUCAACACAGACCCCUUUCUGGAGUGGUGGGGAGCUCUUACUUCCAAGCAAUGGCCAGUUCACCACCGGCGUUUUGGGAACUACUUGAGCGAGAAUGAAUUGCAGCUGUCUCUUAGGAAGCUUGGCAUGGGAUGUUAAUAUUCUUUGAAACUGUUCGGAGCAAGAAAAAAAAAGAUGGUCUCUCCUUCUUUGGGUUGCAAAGACACGGUUAUGUGAGAAACGAAUGCUGCGUGUGUUCACCAUGCUGCUGAAGAGCUUGUGCCCAAUGCCUGUCAGUAGAUUUGGACGAGCUGCUGGGUUCCAUGCCUGGAUACUGCUUGCUGUCUUUCACCUAGUCAUGGAUUUUUCUUCUUGUGAAUCGAAGAUGAGGGAUCAGGUUCUUUCUCAAUCUUCUGGGUCACUGCACCAAUCACCACGACACCGAGCUUCCGGUGAUCCUCUCUGGGAGUACAAAAUUAGCCGCCAUGGGAGAGUUUCAAAAUCGUGGUUGCACAGAAUGUUCUGGCCUAAGGCUCACCCUGGACAACAAAGCCCGAACAAGCCAACAGAGAUUCACAAACACAAGAUGGUCACAGGUAGCCUGUGUAUCAACUGUCAGACCAAACAAUCUGUGUCUCACAAAUUGGACCCUCCAGUCUCCAUGGAGACCAGGGAUUCGGUAAAAUUGACCUCUUUGAAAAGGGCAAGAAGGCAGAGUGAUAAUUUUGCAUUUGAUAAUUUUGAAAAACCCAAAUGCACUUCCUAUGACAGUGAAGGAAUAGCAACUGUGAUGCCUUGUGCUAUUGAAUGGGGUCCCACUAAAGAGGAGCUCACGGAAUUCAACAUGUUUUCAACUCCAGCAAGUCUUUCCACCACAACGCAGACUUUGCUGUUCCCUACCAGAACUACAACUGCCAGAACUACAACCACCACCACAGCAAGCACCACUACCACCACUAUGCAAAGCACGACCGCCUCACUUAGGAGCCAUAACAUAGUGGUGCCAGGGCCAGCUCUGCUCAGCACAACAGAUCCAAGCCUAAGGUGGGAGCUGUCCAACACUGCACGACCCUCCCGCAUUGGAGAGACAGGAGGUCUGGCCGUUCAUCAGAUCAUUACCAUCACAGUCUCCCUCAUCAUGAUUGUUGCUGCUUUGAUAACGACACUGGUGUUAAAAAAUUGCUGUGCACAAAGUGGGAAUGGCCGCCGAAACAGCCACCAACGAAAGAUCAACCAACAAGAAGAAAGUUGCCAAAAUCUCACUGACUUCACGGCGGCCCGAGUUCCGAGCAAUUUGGACAUAUUUACAGCAUACAAUGAGACCCUGCAGUGCUCCCACGAAUGUGUUCGGGCAUCAAUGCCAGUCUAUACCGACCAGGGCCUCCAACAAACCACAGUCUACAAAACCACAUUCAAUGGAAACCGAACACCCCCAUCUGAACGGCAGCUUAUCCCAGUGCCCUUCGUAUCGGAGAAAUGGUUUGAAAUCUCCUGCUGACUGGCCGAAGGCUCUUUCUCCUGGGGCGGGCAGACGUCACCUUUCUAAUUCUUGGAUUCCACUGGUGAAUCUGUAAAACACACGGAUGUCGACUUUUUUUUGCACACCCGUAGGACAGGGAGCGAAGAAAAUCUUGUUUAUUUUUGUAAGUGCGGAUGCCAAUAAAGUAACAUUAUUUUAUGAAGAAGAAAAUGUGGAAGAUGUACUGAAGAAUUGACCAUUUGCCAGAAUUGGAAUGGCAUGCAAUGUUGGGUGAGGAGAACUAUACAGCAGCCAAAUUCCGAUAAGACAGAUAACCUUUCAGAAGUGUCUAUGGUGGAGAUACAAUCUCAUGAACCCGGAUCCACUACCAACAGUGCCAUUAGAUGCCACGUACUUAGAGACUGCAGGCUGAGAAUGCCAAAGAUGGAAGCAUGGUUUCUGUAGAGCACUGAAGAGCAUUGGUGAUUGAGCAGUGCCUGCAGAUGAGCACACCAGCAUGACCAAUCAAAGCAGGCAGAAAACUGAGACUUUACAACAACACCAAGUUUGGAGCUUGAAAGCCCAACGCCUGGCAGCCAAUGAAGUGCAUGAGUGAAUCUGAAUAUUGAAGCCUCAAUGUUGAUGCUACUGGGACCUGUUUCAUGUCAAUAAGACUGCAAUGAAGAUUACAAAGCUAAUUGAACCGCCUUCUUUCCCAUUUUCCAUAUAAAAUGAUGGCCAUCAUUAAAUGAUACAUUUGUGCAGAAGGAAAACAUCGUGCUUUUGAAUUACUAUUCAUUUGUUGAUUUCAAUUUAGUUCCUUAGCUGUUUACCCUUUUGGGGUACCACAUUUCAAGUUCACUUCCUUGACAUAUUUGGGUAUCCUAGUACAAGGACCCAACAGAGAUGUCUUCCAUCAAUGUUAGUGUACUUACACAACAGAACCACUCUUCGAAAAACAACUCCUAGAUGUUCACCAUAGCUGUAAAGUGAUAAUUGAAUGGAUUUUGUUUGGAAUGCGGACUGUAGUUUUAUAAAAAGGGAAGUAUAAACUGCUCUUUAUCCUAGUUAAUCCACUAGUUAAAAACCAAGGAUGUGUAUGGGUAAAAGAGAAAAAGAUAUUAAGCAAAGCUAGAAAAAAUAUUAUUUAGUGUUAGUAUGAAUAUCAAAUAUAGCCUUCGAUCACCUUUUUUCAAGUUCCAUGUCAAUCAAUGUGCUAAUUAUCAAAAAUACAUGGGAAUUAAUUUGUUAACCCAAAAGAACCCAUUUCAACCCUUCACAUCUCCACAACAAUCCAAGCAAUGGUCCCUACAUGUGGCCAUUUCGAUUUCAGAAUGAAAAGCAGAGAGCUACAUUCAAUAAUGUCUUCCUUAUGUUUUUUAAAAUGAGUUUCGAUAAAGGGAUCAGUAACCCAAAGUGUUCAGAAUCAGAUUGGCCCCGGAACCUUUGCUAGUUACACUCCAUGGUUGGUGUUCAUCUUCACUGCACCCAAACAACAGUAAAGGGCUUCCCUAAUAAAUUUGAUCACAAAAUUCAAAAUUAAGCUCCCCUAUUUGUUAUUAUAAUAUAAUACUGUAGAUGUACACACAUGUGACACACAGAUCUCUCUCAUACUCUCACCACAUGAGCAGCUACUUGAAUCAGUAUUAACAAAGAGACAGUCCUGCACAUUGCAUAGUCUGUAACCCACUGAAUUCUUCCACAUCUUGGGUAUUCCAGUCCACAAAGUUUUGUCAUCUGACUGGGGAGCCCCUGAGGCUGCUGGAAAAUAUGGUACUGAAAAGGGUGUUAAACUAGCGAAAUGCCCAGACUAGUUGGCUUUCCAGGGAUGGCUGCUCCAUUGGAUAGUCCUUGCAAAUGAGAUGCAUGUUGGAGAGAGGAAUUCUCCAGGCUGGGGAGCAUGCUGUUAAGCUGUGUGCAUUAAGCUGGGAAGCUCACUAACCCAUGAUUCCAAAACCAUAUGGGGACAGAGCCCAAAUCAUGGAAGAAAUUUUACAGGGGGAUCUUUUGUGGGAUGAUAAGGAGUAAACUGAGCAAAAUUCCAAAAAUUUUACAUCUUGAUAGAAUAAUGAACAAUGUCUGCAACCUGCUAAAUAGUACGGAGGAAUUAAACUUUUGUAAAUGAACUCCAUCUGCUUUUUGAACUGUCAGCAAGUAUUCAUAACAUGGACUGAAAUGGGUUCUAAAAAUCUCCAUGGUAACAGUAAUUUGAAAAAUGUUAGUGAGGCUUAAUUGCUUUUGCAGUAAAUACUCACUGAUGUUUUGUCUUAACAAGAAAAAACAAUACCUGUUUUUUUCAAUAUUGUGUUUAACACGAUUUUACACUCUCACUGAAUACCACUCCUGCAUUUUAAAAAUGUAAUGUGUUAUUCAAAAGGCAUUUUAAAAUAUUGUGUCAGUUAAAUAAUACUUGUUUUAUCCUUUUGGCUCACAAAAGGUGAAAUUCUUAGCGUAAAAUCUGGUCUAUAAGCUACACUUCAAACUGGCUUUAGGUCUGCUAAAAGCAACAGUAACUUGUACACCAGGACAAUUUUUAAAUAUAUUUUAUUCGAAUGCAAAACAGAAAACUAUAAGGUUAGAGAUUAAUAUUUUCAAUAUUCUUGUGUCAGAUUGCUUCCUUUGAUAUUUCAAAAGCAGGCAUUAGCACAUCUAAAACAGGCUCACAUCAAAUUUCUUGCUUCACAACGUUACAGCUUCCUUUAAUAUGACACGGUGAGGAGCCAUGAUACAAACCACCAAAAUGCUUGUAGAAUAAUGGCAAAUAAUCUCUACCUUAUAGGAAGUAUAUUUUAUAAACCUGCAACACACUGUAUAGUCCGUAUUGUACGCUAAGUUUUAAAGGGGAAGAAAAGCUUUUGCUGUCACCAUCUUUUUCUAUUGAAAUAAGUGGUACUUUCUGGAGAGAGAGAGAGAGAGAGAGAGAGAGAGAGAGAGAGAGAGAGAGAGAGAGAGAAUAUAUAUAUAUAUAUAAAUAUAAUAUAUAUCCAUCUUCCAGUGAGAGCAAAGGUGUAUUUUUUCCUCAAGGGAACAGUUUCAUUGGGGGAUGGUUUCUAUUUUGUCACUGCUGUACUUCUGAACUGUGUGUUUGAAUGCACUGUAAACACAACCUGUACCAAUUCUCUUGUGUAAGUUUAG